Molecule: long non-coding RNA, 540 nt
Filed under: Nicotiana tabacum (common tobacco)
Lineage: Eukaryota; Viridiplantae; Streptophyta; Magnoliopsida; Solanales; Solanaceae
Description: long non-coding RNA (NTAB_LNC014764)
Source: RNAcentral
UUUUGGAGGAAGUAAGCUCCUAAAGAGAGUGGUUUCGGGAGUAAAAAACAGACCCCCACAGCAUGUGCUUAAAGAGAAAGCAGAAAAGGGGAUAAAUUGAAAACCAAUCCCCAGCAGGCUAGAGACCCCCAGCAGGCAAUUUUGCCCACCAACCAAUUAUGGGGACAUAGAGCAAGAAAAGGGGAAGAGAGGAAAAAUCAUCCGCCGGAAAGGCACCCUCUACCACCACGAUUAAAACUAACUAAAUCCUUUUGUUUACUGCAGGAAAACAAAGGAUUGAUAAGGGUAGCAAAACGCAACGCCAGGGAAACCACCAAAAAUCGGGGCAGAAAAUUUUCUGCCGAUUGUCGAAAAUUUUCUCGGAAAAACGGGGAAAAAAUUUCAAUACAUUUAAGUUCUAGGUCGCCCACCAGUAUAACGCGGGAAUACAUUUAAGUUCUAGGUCGCCCACCAGUAAAAUGCGGGAAUACAUUUAAGUUCUAGGUCGCCCACCAGUAAAAUGCGGGAAUACAUUUAAGUUCUAGGUCGCCCACCAGUACA